This 465-nucleotide ribosomal RNA is filed under the name Vreelandella stevensii. Its description in RNAcentral is "partial 16S ribosomal RNA". It matches the Rfam family "Bacterial small subunit ribosomal RNA", at positions 338 to 795 of the family's 1533-position model. Lineage: Bacteria; Pseudomonadati; Pseudomonadota; Gammaproteobacteria; Oceanospirillales; Halomonadaceae. The record is from RNAcentral.
CCUACGGGUGGCAGCAGUGGGGAAUAUUGGACAAUGGGCGAAAGCCUGAUCCAGCCAUGCCGCGUGUGUGAAGAAGGCCUUCGGGUUGUAAAGCACUUUCAGUGGGGAAGAAAGCCUUGGGGCUAAUACCCUCGAGGAAGGACAUCACCCACAGAAGAAGCACCGGCUAACUCCGUGCCAGCAGCCGCGGUAAUACGGAGGGUGCGAGCGUUAAUCGGAAUUACUGGGCGUAAAGCACGCGUAGGCGGUCUGAUAAGCCGGUUGUGAAAGCCCCGGGCUCAACCUGGGAACGGCAUCCGGAACUGUCAGGCUAGAGUGCAGGAGAGGAAGGUAGAAUUCCCGGUGUAGCGGUGAAAUGUGUAGAGAUCGGGAGGAAUACCAGUGGCGAAGGCGGCCUUCUGGACUGACACUGACGCUGAGGUGCGAAAGCGUGGGUAGCAAACAGGAUUAGAUACCCUAGUAGUC